RNAcentral lists this microRNA (23 nucleotides) under Ascaris suum (pig roundworm). RNAcentral describes it as "asu-miR-5355-3p". The record is from miRBase by way of RNAcentral. Lineage: Eukaryota; Metazoa; Nematoda; Chromadorea; Rhabditida; Ascarididae.
GUGUGCCCCUUGAGGUGUUUAGA